Molecule: long non-coding RNA, 555 nt
Filed under: Mus spicilegus (steppe mouse)
Lineage: Eukaryota; Metazoa; Chordata; Mammalia; Rodentia; Muridae
Description: lncRNA (ENSMSIG00000030214.1)
Source: RNAcentral
AUGAUUCCAGCCAUCCUCCUUGUAUCCCAAGGAAGACGAACUUGGGUGCAGGUGCUCUGCACACAGCAGCAGACAACCCUGCUCCAGCUGCAGAGCUGUACCGGUACCGCAUGUGGCUGUAGGAGUUGGGCAGAUGUGGGAAGCUGCACGCUGAAGGAAGUCACCUGUCACUCUGCCAUCCUGUGGGAGAGGUUCUGCUUGCUGGAUUCAUCACUCAUGGAACUCCGUCGUCCUUUUAACUUGCAUCUUCCUGAAGGUGGUCUUGACAACUUAUGUAAACAAUUUCGGUCUUAUCAAGUGACCCAGGGUGAAACUGAAGCAGAGGCAAGGACUAGCUGGUUGAUUUUUAAUGGAGUGGAACUGGUUGAGACUCAAUAUGUUGUCUUCAUGCUUGGCAAGAUGGCACUUAAAUAAUCCUGACUCUCAAAAGUCUGAGGCAGGAAAGUUGAAAGUUCAAGGUCAACCUGGUCUACAGAGUAAGUUCCAAGACAGCUUGGGGUCCAUAGUGAGACCCUGACUCAAAGGAAAAAUGAGAAAGGGGGUAAGGGAAGGGAA